UCCAGGAGUUGCAUUUUUGCCCAUUGUGACCUUACGCUUCUUACCUUUCUGUUCCUUAUCAGCAAGCAAAACAUCAGUAGUAGCAUGUGGUGAUUCCAAGAACUCCAAUAAUUUUACAGUGAGUUCUUCCUUUUUCACAACAGCCUUAUUUAUUGGAACAUUGAGCACAUCACAAAAAUCAAAAAUCAACCAACUUUUCUUUAAAACACCUGUCAAGCUUCUCCCUUACUUUUGCUUUCUG
This 241-nucleotide unclassified non-coding RNA is filed under the name Hevea brasiliensis (rubber tree). The record is from RNAcentral. Lineage: Eukaryota; Viridiplantae; Streptophyta; Magnoliopsida; Malpighiales; Euphorbiaceae.